AAAUGAAUUGACGGGGACCCGCACAAGCAGCGGAGCAUGUGGUUUAAUUCGACGCAACGCGAAGAACCUUACCAAGGCUUGACAUGUUAAUGCAUAGCUAUGAAAGUAGUGAAAUCCUAGAAGCAAUUCAAAGACAUUAACACAGAUGGUGCAUGGUUGUCGUCAGCUCGUGUCGUGAGAUGUUGGGUUAAGUCCCGCAACGAGCGCAACCCCUGUUUUUAGUUGCCAGCAUUCAGUUGGGCACUCUAGAGAGACUGCCGUAGAUAAUACGGAGGAAGGUGGGGAUGACGUCAAAUCAUCAUGCCUCUUACGCCUUGGGCUACACACGUGCUACAAUGGACGAAACAAAGUGAUGCGAUAUAGUAAUAUGGAGCCAAACACAAAAACUCGUUCUCAAUUCGGAUUGUGGGCUGCAACCCGCCCACAUGAAGUCGGAGUUGCUAGUAAUCCCGGAUCAGCACGCCGGGGUGAAUGCGUUCUCGGGUCUUGUACACACCGCCCGU
Molecule: ribosomal RNA, 503 nt
Filed under: uncultured bacterium
Lineage: Bacteria
Description: bacterial SSU rRNA
Rfam family: Bacterial small subunit ribosomal RNA
Source: RNAcentral